Molecule: ribosomal RNA, 501 nt
Filed under: uncultured bacterium
Lineage: Bacteria
Description: partial 16S ribosomal RNA
Rfam family: Bacterial small subunit ribosomal RNA
Source: RNAcentral
GAUUAACGCUAGCGGCAGGCCUAAUACAUGCAAGUCGAACGGCAGCGGGUCCAGCAAUGGAUGCCGGCGAGUGGCGCACGGGUGCGUAACACGUAUGCAAUCUACCCUUAACUGGGGAAUAGCCCCGAGAAAUCGGGAUUAAUACCCCAUAAUAUUAUGAUGAGGCAUCUCAUUAUAAUUAAAGCUCCGGCGGUUUUGGAUGAGCAUGCGCGACAUUAGUUAGUUGGUGAGGUAACGGCUCACCAAGGCAGCGAUGUCUAGGGGUUCUGAGAGGAUUCACCCCCACACUGGUACUGAGACACGGACCAGACUCCUACGGGAGGCAGCAGUAAGGAAUAUUGGGCAAUGGGCGCAAGCCUGACCCAGCCAUGCCGCGUGCAGGAUGACGGCCCUACGGGUUGUAAACUGCUUUUGUACGGGAAAAAACCCCCGGUCGUGAAUCGGGGUUGAUGGUACCGUAAGAAUAAGCAUCGGCUAACUCCGUGCCAGCCGCCGCGGUAA